AAUCCUGCUUCUGAGUAUCGAAUUCAAUGGCUACAAUUUGGUUGGUGCUGCUGCCAUCGGUAGUUGCAUUGGUGAGGCCCAUCCACUGCCCCCAGCUCUGAUCAGGUACAUCAGCAGUCGGAGCUAUAAGAAAACCAUAACUUGAAGGGCUGGUGGUACAUAAUCCGGCCAGACGUAUUUUGAAGGCGAACAAUAUCGUUCUGCGAGUCGGGAGUUAGCUGCAGGGCGCCCUCAUCGAUGGAAGACGACCCUUGAGUGAAGGAGAAGUCUUUGUUGUGCUCCCUUUCAUUGAAUCCAACAUAGGCAAAACGAGGCUCAAGGCUCGGUUGGCUGCUCACAGCUCCAAAGAGCAAUACCACACAAGCCACAAGAACAGCAACCAAGGAAAACCAGAACAUACAGAUGAAUUCCAGGCUCUGUAGAUCAGCAAUGAGAAUCUCGAAUCCAGAUCGAGAUCUAAGUUCUUCCUUUGUGAAACUGUUUGAGAAAAAGCUAGAGGUAAGCUCUUUUUUGCCUUAAAAGUUAAGAGCUUUCCUCCAUGAUUAUCGCUUUGAUAUGAAAUGAAAAGAACAUCAUUGAUCAUCUGUAACUCCUCAACGCGUUAGUUUAAUCUUUUGGAAGCAACCGGGUUUUGGGAAAGUUUGGAAAUGGUCGAAGGUCAAAGGGGGCUUGAGGAAGAAGGGUCAAAAUUUUCAUGCUGAAAAUGGAGAAAAAGCCAUUGAUGAAUUCUUCACGUUGACAAAAACGAGCAGCUUCUGAGAGGUUAUCUUGACAGUUAAAUGUACUGAGGUCUACAAUUGUUCGGUGAGAAUGGUUGAGAUACAUGCACUUUCAAACUUUCAUGGAUGAGAACAAGGAUCGGAUAAGAACGGUAUGAGUUUUUUAUGGAGUCGUUCAUAAUAUACCAUUAGUGUUUCUCAAACUAUCAUAAAUAUUUGUACGGGUUAUUAAAUGUUAGGCUAGCCUUCUUUUUAAUUCAAUACAUCAAAAUAGAUAUAAAUGUGGUUAUUCUUGUUGACUUAAAUAUGAAAUCUUAG
Molecule: long non-coding RNA, 1037 nt
Organism: Cucurbita moschata (crookneck pumpkin)
Lineage: Eukaryota; Viridiplantae; Streptophyta; Magnoliopsida; Cucurbitales; Cucurbitaceae
Exons: 4
Source: RefSeq, a predicted model, not a curated record